AUGUGUGUUCCAAAAGAUCAAGGAGGAAUGCGAUUCAGGGAUAUACAUUGUUUUAAUCUAGCAUUGUUAGCUAAACAAGGCUGGCGUCUCCUAGAUAAUCCUGAAUCGUUAUGUGCCACAAUCUUAAGAGCUAAAUAUUCCCCGGAGGGUGAUUUGAUGAACGCAAGUUUAAAACAUGGUUCCUCUUUUACUUGGCAAAGUAUUAUGGCUGGAGUGGACUCUCUCAAGAAUGGUUAUAUAUGA
This 243-nucleotide ribosomal RNA is filed under the name Triticum aestivum (bread wheat). Its description in RNAcentral is "partial small subunit ribosomal RNA". Lineage: Eukaryota; Viridiplantae; Streptophyta; Magnoliopsida; Poales; Poaceae. The record is from RNAcentral.